This 253-nucleotide ribosomal RNA is filed under the name uncultured bacterium. RNAcentral's name for it is "partial 16S ribosomal RNA". It matches the Rfam family "Bacterial small subunit ribosomal RNA", at positions 524 to 776 of the family's 1533-position model. The record is from RNAcentral.
CACGUAGGGACCAAGCGUUGUUCGGAUUUACUGGGCGUAAAGGGCGCGUAGGCGGCGUGGUAAGUCACUUGUGAAAUCUCUGAGCUUAACUCAGAACGGUCAACUGAUACUGUGCGACUAGAGUGCAGAAGGGGCAACUGGAAUUCUCGGUGUAGCGGUGAAAUGCGUAGAUAUCGAGAGGAACACCUGCGGCGAAGGCGGGUUGCUGGGCUGACACUGACGCUGAGGCGCGAAAGCGUGGGGAGCAAACAGG